RNAcentral lists this ribosomal RNA (851 nucleotides) under uncultured bacterium. RNAcentral's name for it is "bacterial SSU rRNA". It matches the Rfam family "Bacterial small subunit ribosomal RNA", at positions 56 to 913 of the family's 1533-position model. The record is from RNAcentral.
UGCAGUCGAACGGGACUUAUUUUGUAGCAAUACGAAAUGAGUUCAGUGGCGCAAGGGUGCGUAACACGUGAAUCAUCUGCCGAAAAGUGGGGGAUAGCUCGCCGAAAGGCGAAUUAAUACCGCAUGUGGUCGCAAGACUAAAGCCGCAAGGCGCUUUUUGAUGAGUUCGCGGCCUAUCAGCUAGUUGGUGAGGUAAAAGCUUACCAAGGCUAAGACGGGUAGCUGGUCUGAGAGGACGACCAGCCACACUGGAACUGAGACACGGUCCAGACACCUACGGGUGGCAGCAGUCGAGAAUUUUUCUCAAUGGGGGAAACCCUGAAGGAGCGACGCCGCGUGGAGGAUGAAGGUCUUCGGAUUGUAAACUCCUGUCAUCGAUGAACAAAGCCAUCGCAAGGUGGUGUGAUAGUAAUCGAAGAGGAAGGGACGGCUAACUCUGUGCCAGCAGCCGCGGUAAUACAGAGGUCCCAAGCGUUGUUCGGAUUCAUUGGGCGUAAAGGGUGCGUAGGCGGCAAAUCAAGUUAGAUGCGAAAUCCCGGGGCUUAACUCCGGAACUGCAUUUAAUACUGCUUUGCUAGAGUACUAGAGAAGGGGCUGGAAUUUACGGUGUAGCAGUGAAAUGCGUAGAUAUCGUAAAGAACGUCAGUGGCGAAAGCGAGCCUCUAGAUAGUUACUGACGCUGAGGCACGAAAGCCAGGGGAGCAAACGGGAUUAGAUACCCCGGUAGUCCUGGCUGUAAACGGUGCGCGUUUGGUGUGAGGGGGUUCGACCCUCCUUGUGCCGGAGCUAACGCGUUAAACGCGCCGCCCUGGGAAAAUACGGUCGCAAGACUAAAACUCAAAGAAAAUUGA